This 477-nucleotide ribosomal RNA is filed under the name Candidatus Scalindua wagneri. Its description in RNAcentral is "bacterial SSU rRNA". It matches the Rfam family "Bacterial small subunit ribosomal RNA", at positions 365 to 832 of the family's 1533-position model. Lineage: Bacteria; Pseudomonadati; Planctomycetota; Candidatus Brocadiia; Candidatus Brocadiales; Candidatus Scalinduaceae. The record is from RNAcentral. RNAcentral also lists the same sequence under 1 other name.
UUCGCAAUGCCCGAAAGGGUGACGAUGCGACGCCGCGUGAGCGAAGAAGGCCCUAGGGUUGUAAAGCUCUGUCGAGGGUUAUGAAAUAUAGAUGGGUUAAUACCCCAUUUAUUUGACAAAAGCCCAAAAGGAAGCCACGGCUAACUCUGUGCCAGCAGCCGCGGUAAUACAGAGGUGGCGAGCGUUGUUCGGUAUUAUUGGGCGUAAAGAGCACGUAGGUGGGUUUGUAAGGCAGAUGUGAAAGCCUCCUGUUCAACGGGAGAAUUGCAUCUGAAACUACUGAUCUUGAGUAUAGGAGGGGAGAAUGGAACUUCUGGUGGAGCGGUGAAAUGCGUAGAUAUCAGAAGGAACGCCGGCGGCGAAAGCGAUUCUCUGGCCUAUUACUGACACUCAGUGUGCGAAAGCUAGGGGAGCAAACGGGAUUAGAUACCCCGGUAGUCCUAGCCGUAAACGAUGGGCACUAAGUAGAGGGGUUUU